CCUACGGGGUGCAGCAGUGGGGAAUAUUGGACAAUGGGGGGAACCCUGAUCCAGCGACGCCGCGUGAGUGAAGAAGUAUUUCGGUAUGUAAAGCUCUAUCAGCAGGGAAGAAAGAAAUGACGGUACCUGACUAAGAAGCCCCGGCUAACUACGUGCCAGCAGCCGCGGUAAUACGUAGGGGGCAAGCGUUAUCCGGAUUUACUGGGUGUAAAGGGAGCGUAGACGGCGAUGCAAGUCUGAAGUGAAAGGCGGGGGCUCAACCCCGCUCCGCCGUUGAAACUGUGUCCCUUGAGUGCGCGAAGGGUAGGCGGAAUGCGUGGUGUAGCGGUGAAAUGCAUAGAUAUCACGCAGAACUCCGAUCGCGAAGGCAGCCUACCGGCGCGCAACUGACGCUCAUGCACGAAAGCGUGAGUAUCGAACAGGAUUAGAUACCCCAGUAGUC
This 442-nucleotide ribosomal RNA is filed under the name uncultured bacterium. RNAcentral's name for it is "partial 16S ribosomal RNA". It matches the Rfam family "Bacterial small subunit ribosomal RNA", at positions 338 to 795 of the family's 1533-position model. The record is from RNAcentral.